AUCAGUGAGUCAUCGAAUCUUUGAACGCACAUUGCGCCUCUCGGUAUUCCGGGAGGCACGCCUGUUCGAGCGCCAUUACAAACUCCAAGCGCAGGCUUGAUGUUGGACGAUGUCUGUCUGGGUGUUUGCCGGACGGACACGUCUGGAACGCGUUGGCGCCGCCGCCGGACCACGAGCGUAGCAAGACGCAAGUCACCUCGCAUCGAAUUGGUUCCGACGGCGGUCUUGCCUCGACCUUUGGAACCGGUGUGACCGGAGAAGAAGCAUCGACGAAAGUUUGGCCUCGGAUCAGGCGGGGAUACCCGCUGAACUUAAGCAUAUCAAUAAGCGGAGGAAAAAGAAACCAACCGGGAUUGCCCCAGUAACGGCGAGUGAAAGCGGCAAAAGCUCAAAUUUGAAAUCUGGAGCCUUCGGCUUCCGAGUUGUAAUUUGCAGAGGGAGCCUCGGAGGGCGGGUCGGUCCAAGUUCCUUGGAAGAGGAUACCGCAGAGGGUGAGAGUCCCGUAUGCGGCCGACUGCGCGCUCCGUGUGAGGCCCCUUCGACGAGUCGAGUUGUUUGGGAAUGCAGCUCCAAGCGGGUGGUAAAUUCCAUCUAAAGCUAAAUACCGGCCAGAGACCGAUAGCGAACAAGUAGAGUGAUCGAAAGAUGAAAAGCACUUUGAAAAGAGAGUGAAACAGUACGUGAAAUUGUUGAAAGGGAAGCGCAUGGGGGCAGACUUGGGCGCGGGGUUCAGCGUUUCUGUUUGGAGCGUGUACUUCCCCGCGUGCAGGCCAGCAUCGGUUCCGGGGGCCGGACAAAGGCGACGGGAAUGUGGCUCCCCUCGGGGAGUGUUAUAGCCCGGCGUGCAAUGCGGCCACCUGGGACCGAGGACCGCGCCUUGUGCAAGGAUGCUGGCGUAAUGGCCUCAUGCGGCCCGUCUGAACACGAC
Molecule: ribosomal RNA, 928 nt
Filed under: Scolecobasidium sp.
Lineage: Eukaryota; Fungi; Ascomycota; Dothideomycetes; Venturiales; Sympoventuriaceae
Description: partial 28S ribosormal RNA
Rfam family: Eukaryotic large subunit ribosomal RNA (bases 279-928)
Source: RNAcentral